RNAcentral lists this transfer RNA (73 nucleotides) under Diaphorina citri (Asian citrus psyllid). It matches the Rfam family "tRNA". Rfam says of the family: Transfer RNA (tRNA) molecules are approximately 80 nucleotides in length. Their secondary structure includes four short double-helical elements and three loops (D, anti-codon, and T loops). Lineage: Eukaryota; Metazoa; Arthropoda; Insecta; Hemiptera; Psyllidae. The record is from Rfam by way of RNAcentral.
GCCUAGUUAGCUUGGUUGGUAGCGCGUGUGCCUCGUAAGUGCUAGGCCGCGGGUUCGCUUCCCGUCCGAGGCA